Long non-coding RNA from Nyctereutes procyonoides (raccoon dog), 912 nucleotides. RefSeq lists it as uncharacterized. Lineage: Eukaryota; Metazoa; Chordata; Mammalia; Carnivora; Canidae. The record is from RefSeq and is a predicted model, not a curated record. The transcript has 4 exons.
GCGUCUGUUCGGUGAGAAAACCAAGCCCUCGAAGCCCGCAGUCCAUGGCAGUGAGUGGUCGGCCCCCUGCAGGAUGCAGGCUGCUCCUCGGGGACUGAGCCCAAGGGGCCAGAUGCCCACCCGCCUCCCCCAAGACUCCCGUAUUCAGACGACACCAAACGCCUACUCUCCCAAGCACAAACCCAAGCUCCAGAAGCAUAUGGGGUUUCCUAACGCCUACAGAAUUAAAGUCAGACUCACUCUCGUUCACGGUUCUCUUUGCACUGCACUGUGAGUUCCUUGAGGAUUCAUCUCCGCAUCAUCAGCUUCUACUACAGGGCAUGGCCACGAUGGAAAUGACAGACAAAAACAACUGAAAAGAAAUGACUGUUUAUUAUUCUCAAGCAAGUCACAUCAACUUCUGUGUAUAUCCUUCUCAGAAAAGUAAAUUUCACACUCUUGCAGCAAAUGGAACAUGAAACAUUUGAAAGGCUCCAGUGAAAAAUCUGUUCAAACUCCAUGCCAGCUGCUGUCAUUUUAAAAGCCACAGAAGCAUCUCCCCAGCGAACCUGCCUCAGACAAGGUAAUGAGUUUUUCCUGGAUCUCGCUGCAGCCAGAGGUCUUAGCAGGGCAUCUGCUGCCUUUGGAAGCAGAUGGCCGGUUCCAGCAGAACCUGUGUUUGCCCUCCUUCCUUCUCCUCCAAACAGGCAUGAGCGGCUCCAGAUCUGCUCGGCCAUCAAAAUGGAAGGAGUCUCAGAACUAGCCUCAUGGACGAGGGCUGAGCCCCGCACAGUGUGGAAAGGAGACCAAGGGAGACCCCAAGAACACCCCCACACCUGGCUGACCAGGCCCCUUGCGCUGCAGAGGAAGCGACACAGCUGGAAGGGACAGGAUUUAUGUUGCAUACUUGAACUACAGCGAGUGUAAGACUGG